UGGGGAAUAUUGCACAAUGGGGGAAACCCUGAUGCAGCGACGCCGCGUGAGCGAAGAAGGUUUUCGAAUCGUAAAGCUCUGUCCUAUGAGAAGAUAAUGACGGUAUCAUAGGAGGAAGCCCCGGCUAAAUACGUGCCAGCGGCCGCGGUAAUACGUAUGGGGCGAGCGUUGUCCGGAAUUAUUGGGCGUAAAGGGUACGUAGGCGGUCUAUUAAGUCAGGUGUGAAAGCGUGAGGCUUAACCUCAUUAAGCACUUGAAACUGAUAGACUUGAGUGAAGGAGAGGAAAGUGGAAUUCCUAGUGUAGCGGUGAAAUGCGUAGAUAUUAGGAGGAAUACCGGUGGCGAAGGCGACUUUCUGGACUUUUACUGACGCUCAGGUACGAAAGCGUGGGGAGCAAACAGG
This 403-nucleotide ribosomal RNA is filed under the name Verrucomicrobiota bacterium. RNAcentral's name for it is "Verrucomicrobia bacterium partial 16S ribosomal RNA". It matches the Rfam family "Bacterial small subunit ribosomal RNA", at positions 355 to 776 of the family's 1533-position model. The record is from RNAcentral. Lineage: Bacteria; Pseudomonadati; Verrucomicrobiota.